Molecule: ribosomal RNA, 207 nt
Filed under: uncultured bacterium
Lineage: Bacteria
Description: partial 16S ribosomal RNA
Rfam family: Bacterial small subunit ribosomal RNA
Source: RNAcentral
CUCGUAGGUGGCCAACUAAGUCAGACGUGAAAUCCCUCGGCUUAACCGGGGAACUGCGUCUGAUACUGGAUGGCUUGAGUUUGGGAGAGGGACGCGGAAUUCCAGGUGUAGCGGUGAAAUGCGUAGAUAUCUGGAGGAACACCGGUGGCAAAGGCGGCGUCCUGGACCAACACUGACACUGAUGAGCGAAAGCCAGGGGAGCAAACG